UGUCAAUCAGGUAAAGACUGGUGGUACAGAGGAGAAAAAUGUGAGACUAUGGGCUCCACCAAGAACACCAUAUUUAUCACAGUUUUGUUUGCUACAGGAAUAUUUAUUUCUAUGCUAAUAGUGGCUCUUCUGAGUGUCCGCCAUGUUAAGAAGAAAUACAGAAAAAGGAGUAAAGCCAAUACCUUAAAAAAUAAUAAUGUUCCUGAAAUCCGGUCUGAAGAUAUUAGACAGCAAUAACAACAAUGACAAAAAUAAUAGGAAAAUACAUUGCUUCUUCAUCAUGGAUUCAUCUAGAAACAAAUUUCAGCUGUGACAAAUGAUUUUUUUGUAACCUAUAAUUACUUUUUUUUCCUGCUGAAAAAUAUUGGAAAUAGUGAAUGGAUUUUUUUUUCCUUUUUGUACAGUCAUUCAAUUUCUGUGUCAUUUUGGUUCUUGUGAUAUAUUUGGAAGAGGUCCCUCGAGCUGUUUAUGAGGGAAUUCCCUGCCCUUCACAGCCCUUCAGAAGUUUCAAAUCAAGUUGCUAACCCUUGAGGUGUGGGUACUGUCACCUCCCCACAUCAUAACCACUAUGUCAUUUGGAGUCAUUCCUAUGCUUCCUUUGGCUACAAAUCUCCUAUCUCUCUGGCACUUAAGAAACAAUGAGUAGUGCUGGAUUUGGCAUCAGGGAAUAUGGGUUUGAAAGCUGUCUCUGCUACUUUACUAUCUUUGUAACCUUGGACAAGUGCUCCUCUGGGGGCUUCAGUUUCUUUACCUCCAGAAUGACAAUGUUGUACUCUUUCCCACUUCAUAUCCAAUCAGUUAAUAAGCUCUGUUGCAUCCAUUUCUGAAAAAUCUCUUAUCCUUCUUUCUAUGAACAUAGCCCCAACUAUGUAUACAAUAUGUAUACUUAAUUCAUCUGAUUGAAUUAUGGUAGUAAAAUCUUUCCAGGUUUCCUCCAAUUCAUCCUUCACAACUUUCUGUAGAAUUUUUCUUAUGUAUAAAUAUGGUUAUUCCACUUCUCUCAGUAAAAAUCUUUCUUGUCUCCUGAAUCCUCUGUUUAUUCUCCUCUGCUUGGUAUUCAAGCCCUACCACAACCUGUCACUACCAUACCUUCUCAGACUUACUUUGAAUUUUUCAUUUUUAAGCAUUGCCAUUCAAUUCCAGCCAAAAUGAUGAUCUUUGACUCUCUACACAAUCACAUGCCUCCAGAAAUUUACUCAAGCAAUUUUCUAAACCUAGACUAUAUUUUUUCCCUCAUUUUCAUCUAUUGAAAUUCCACCCACCCCUUAGAAUAGUGGUAUUAAAAUAAAAAAGAAAUGGGGGCCAUUAAAACUAUAAAAAGAGAUGCCUUUGGGCUACAUGAGGACUUAGAAAACCACAUUAAUAUUAUCUAUUUUAUUGUAUUUUUAUUUAUUUUGUUAAAUAUUUUCCAAUUAAAUUUUAAUCUGGUUCAGUUUUGUGCACAGAUCUUUGUUUUAAAGCAUCACCACACUCAUUUGUGACUUUGCCUCUUGGAUGCCACAGAGCUGUUUGCACAACAAUGUAAUUAUCCAGCUAUCAAAUGCAAUUAUCAUGUACUCAUUGGUUUUUCUGGCCAUCUCUGAUAAUGUUAUAUUCCUUCACUAGAUUGUAAACUCUAUGGGGCAAGAACUAUAAUUUGUCUAAAUUUGGUAUCAGCCCCAUACAAUGCUUUGCACUAAAUAGAGAGUAAAUAAAUGCUUGUUGCUGUCA
Molecule: long non-coding RNA, 1710 nt
Organism: Antechinus flavipes (yellow-footed antechinus)
Lineage: Eukaryota; Metazoa; Chordata; Mammalia; Dasyuromorphia; Dasyuridae
Exons: 2
Source: RefSeq, a predicted model, not a curated record